RNAcentral lists this long non-coding RNA (439 nucleotides) under Mus pahari (shrew mouse). RNAcentral's name for it is "lncRNA (MGP_PahariEiJ_G0003523.1)". The record is from RNAcentral. Lineage: Eukaryota; Metazoa; Chordata; Mammalia; Rodentia; Muridae.
GGUUGGUGGCAUUGCCCCACGGCUCUCCUGCCCCGCAGCGGCGUGGAAUCGUCGGGGGCGUGUGCCGGGUGCUGAGGACCUGCGGGCGCUGGGCAGCGGGGAUCCGCGGCGGGAGCGGGAAGCGCGGGGUCCUGGGUGGCCGCCGCGAGCUGGGAAGCUGUCUGAUCCAGCUUGGGCAAUUUGUGAUGGCGCAGGAAGAGGUUGUCUUGGCCUUCAGACUGGAUUUCUUGGACCCCAGUCUCCUCAUCUCCCUCCAUUUUACAACCAUGGAUGCCAUACUUCCUUAAAAAAAAAAAAAGAAACUAUACAACCAACCACCACACAUCUCAUAUGCAUCUUGCAAACAGGGAGAUAAUGAGAAAGAACUAAGUUAACCUGUGAGGAGACUGCUCAAUGAACAAAGUGCUUAAACCACUCCCACAAGCAUGAGGAUGUGGGU